RNAcentral lists this ribosomal RNA (708 nucleotides) under Triticum aestivum (bread wheat). RNAcentral describes it as "partial small subunit ribosomal RNA". The record is from RNAcentral. Lineage: Eukaryota; Viridiplantae; Streptophyta; Magnoliopsida; Poales; Poaceae.
AUGAUACCCAAGAUUGACAGUCCAGAACUGGUAACUCAAUUCCGUCCCAUAAGCUUGUGUAAUGUUCUUUAUAAAAUCAUCUCUAAAAUGCUUGCACUUCGGUUGAAAAAUAUAUUGCCUGAGAUUAUCUCCCCUACCCAAAGUGCAUUUGUUCCUGGAAGGAUGAUCACGGAUAAUAUUCUUAUAGCUUAUGAAUGUGUGCAUAAAAUAAAGAACAAGAGGGCUGGUCAGACUGGACUAUGUGCGGUUAAAUUGGACAUGCACAAGGCAUAUGAUAGGGUGGAAUGGUCCUUUUUGCAUGAUAUGAUGGUGAAGUUGGGUUUUCAUGAACAAUGGAUUGAAAUGAUAAUGGCUUGUGUUGGCUCUGUUAGAUACAAAAUAAGGUUUAACUCUCAGGAGACGGAUGUUUUCACCCCGACUAGGGGUAUUAGGCAGGGGGAUCCACUCUCCCCUUACCUUUUUCUCCUUUGUGCAGAAGGUCUUUCUAGUUUAUUGCAGUUUGAAGAAGAAGCUGGUGGCAUAGAGGGAAUUAGAGUGUGUAGAAAUGCACCAUCAGUAUCACACCUUUUAUUCACUGAUGAUUCUCUGAUUCUCAUGAAAGCAGACGUUUUAAAUGCAGCUUCCUUACAUCAUGUUCAAGAUGCCUACUGUGAAAGCUCGGGACAAUUGGUGAGUUUGGCUAAAUCUAGUAUUUUUUUUCAGUCCUAA